UGGGGAAUUUUGGACAAUUGGGCGAAAGCCUGAUCCAGCAAUGCCGCGUGUGUGAAGAAGGCCUUCGGGUUGUAAAGCACUUUUGUCCGGAAAGAAAUCCUUGGCUCUAAUACAGUCGGGGGAUGACGGUACCGGAAGAAUAAGCACCGGCUAACUACGUGCCAGCAGCCGCGGUAAUACGUAGGGUGCAAGCGUUAAUCGGAAUUACUGGGCGUAAAGCGUGCGCAGGCGGUUUGCUAAGACCGAUGUGAAAUCCCCGGGCUCAACCUGGGAACUGCAUUGGUGACUGGCAGGCUAGAGUAUGGCAGAGGGGGGUAGAAUUCCACGUGUAGCAGUGAAAUGCGUAGAGAUGUGGAGGAAUACCGAUGGCGAAGGCAGCCCCCUGGGCCAAUACUGACGCUCAUGCACGAAAGCGUGGGGGAGCAAACAGGAUUAGAUACCCUGGUAGUCCACGCCCUAAACGAUGUCAACUAGUUGUUGGGGAUUCAUUUCCUUAGUAACGUAGCUAACGCGUGAAGUUGACCGCCUGGGGAGUACGGUCGCAAGAUUAAAACUCAAAGGAAUUGACGGGGUCAUAGCUGUUUCCU
This 587-nucleotide ribosomal RNA is filed under the name uncultured bacterium. RNAcentral describes it as "partial 16S ribosomal RNA". It matches the Rfam family "Bacterial small subunit ribosomal RNA", at positions 355 to 1375 of the family's 1533-position model. The record is from RNAcentral.